RNAcentral lists this ribosomal RNA (515 nucleotides) under uncultured bacterium. Its description in RNAcentral is "partial 16S ribosomal RNA". It matches the Rfam family "Bacterial small subunit ribosomal RNA", at positions 28 to 523 of the family's 1533-position model. The record is from RNAcentral.
GAUGAACGCUGGCGGCGUGCCUAAUACAUGCAAGUCGAGCGAAUGGAUUAAGAGCUUGCUCUUAUGAAGUUAGCGGCGGACGGGUGAGUAACACGUGGGUAACCUGCCCAUAAGACUGGGAAAACUCCGGGAAACCGGGGCUAAUACCGGAUAACAUUUUGAACCGCAUGGUUCGAAAUUGAAAGGCGGCUUCGGCUGUCACUUAUGGAUGGACCCGCGUCGCAUUAGCUAGUUGGUGAGGUAACGGCUCACCAAGGCAACGAUGCGUAGCCGACCUGAGAGGAGGAUCGGCCACACUGGGACUGGGACACGGCCCAGACUCCUACGGGAGGCAGCAGUAGGGAAUCUUCCGCAAUGGACGAAAGUCUGACGGAGCAACGCCGCGUGAGUGAUGAAGGCUUUCGGGUCGUAAAACUCUGUUGUUAGGGAAGAACAAGUGCUAGUUGAAUAAGCUGGCACCUUGACGGUACCUAACCAGAAAGCCACGGCUAACUACGUGCCAGCCGCCGCAGUAA